UACGAAGGGGGCUAGCGUUGCCCGGAAUCACUGGGCGUAAAGCGCACGUAGGCGGCUUUCUAAGUCAGGGGUGAAAUCCUGGAGCUCAACUCCAGAACUGCCUUUGAUACUGGGAAGCUCGAGUCCGGAAGAGGUAAGUGGAACUCCGAGUGUAGAGGUGAAAUUCGUAGAUAUUCGGAAGAACACCGGUGGCGAAGGCGGCUCACUGGCCCGUUACUGACGCUCAGGCGCGACAGCGUGGGGAUCAAACAGG
This 253-nucleotide ribosomal RNA is filed under the name uncultured bacterium. RNAcentral describes it as "partial 16S ribosomal RNA". It matches the Rfam family "Bacterial small subunit ribosomal RNA", at positions 524 to 776 of the family's 1533-position model. The record is from RNAcentral.